CGCGUAGGCGGCCCUGCGUGUCUUCCGUGAAAUCCCUCGGCUUAACUGAGGACGUGCGGAAGAAACUGCAGGGCUCGAGUCCGGGAGAGGGGGGUGGAAUUCCCAGUGUAGCGGUGAAAUGCGUAGAUAUUGGGAGGAACACCGGUGGCGAAGGCGGCCCCCCUGGACCGGUACUGACGCUGAUGCGCGAAAGCGUGGGUAGCAAACG
This 208-nucleotide ribosomal RNA is filed under the name uncultured bacterium. RNAcentral's name for it is "partial 16S ribosomal RNA". It matches the Rfam family "Bacterial small subunit ribosomal RNA", at positions 568 to 774 of the family's 1533-position model. The record is from RNAcentral.